UAAAAAAUUCAGAAAAGUGUA
Molecule: non-coding RNA, 21 nt
Filed under: Caenorhabditis elegans
Lineage: Eukaryota; Metazoa; Nematoda; Chromadorea; Rhabditida; Rhabditidae
Source: RNAcentral